CAUGCCUCCAAGAAAAGCCCUAUACCCGUUAAGGCAUCAUGGCCUGUACCCGAAACCGACACAGGUGGGGUGGUAGGGAAUACCGAGGGGCGCGAGGUAACUCUCUCUAAGGAACUCGGCAAAAUGGCCCCGUAACUUCGGGAGAAGGGGUGCCACCGUAAGGUGGUCGCAGUGAAGAGGCCCAGGCGACUGUUUACCAAAAACACAGGUCUCCGCUAAGUCGCAAGACGAUGUAUGGGGGCUGACGCCUGCCCAGUGCCGGAAGGUUAAGGAAGCUGGUCAGCGCAAGCGAAGCUAGCGACUGAAGCCCCGGUGAACGGCGGCCGUAACAAUAACGGUCCUAAGGUAGCGAAAUUCCUUGUCGGGUAAGUUCCGACCCGCACGAAAGGCGUAACGAUCUGGGCGCUGUCUCGGAGAGAGGCUCGGCGAAAUAGAAUUGUCUGUGAAGAUGCGGACUACGUGCACCCGGACAGAAAGACCCUAUGAAGCUUUACUGUAGCUUGGUAUUGUGCCCGGGCUCGCAAUGCGCAGGAUAGGUGGGAGGCUUUGAUCAUCGGCUUGCGGGUCGAUGUGAGCCAACGGUGAGAUACCACUCUUUGCGAGCUAGGGUUCUAACGGCCACCCGUCAUCCGGGGGCCGGACAGUACCUGGUGGGCAGUUUGACUGGGGCGGUCGCCUCCUAAAAGGUAACGGAGGCGCGCAAAGGUUUGCUCAGGCUGGUUGGAAAUCAGCCGACGAGUGUAAAAGCAGAAGCAAGCUUGACUGUGAGACCAACAAGUCGAACAGGGAGGAAACUCGGCUUUAGUGAUCCGACGGUUCUGAGUGGAAGGGCCGUCGCUCAACGGAUAAAAGUUACUCUAGGAUAACAGGCUGAUCUCCCCCAAGAGUUCACAUCGACGGGGAGGUUUGGCACCUCGAUGUCGGCUCAUCGCAACCUGGGGCUGAAGUCGGUCCCAAGGGUUGGGCUGUUCGCCCAUUAAAGCGGUACGCGAGCUGGGUUCAGAACGUCGUGAGACAGUUCGGUCCAUAUCCGGUGCACGCGCAGGAAUAUUGAGAGGAUUUCUCCCUAGUACGAGAGGACCGGGAGGAACGCACCUCUGGUGUACCAGUUAUCGUGCCAACGGUAAACGCUGGGUAGCCAUGUGCGGAGUGGAUAACCGCUGAAAGCAUCUAAGUGGGAAGCCCACCUCAAGAUGAGUAUUCCCAUGGCGUAAGCCAGUAAGGUCACGGGAAGAACACCCGUUGAUAGGCUCUAUGUGGAAGCGCAGUAAUGCGUGAAGCAGAGGAGUACUAAUAGACCGAGGGCUUU
Molecule: ribosomal RNA, 1309 nt
Filed under: metagenome
Description: bacterial LSU rRNA
Rfam family: Bacterial large subunit ribosomal RNA
Source: RNAcentral